This 467-nucleotide ribosomal RNA is filed under the name uncultured Pirellula sp. Its description in RNAcentral is "bacterial SSU rRNA". It matches the Rfam family "Bacterial small subunit ribosomal RNA", at positions 8 to 488 of the family's 1533-position model. Lineage: Bacteria; Pseudomonadati; Planctomycetota; Planctomycetia; Pirellulales; Pirellulaceae. The record is from RNAcentral.
AGAGUUUGAUCAUGGCUCAGAAUGAACGUUGGCGGCGUGGAUUAGGCAUGCAAGUCGAGCGCGAAACCCCGCAAGGGGUGGAAAGCGGCGAAAGGGACAGUAACACGUGGAUUAUCUACCCCUCGGUCUGGGAUAGCUGCGGGAAACUGCAGGUAAUACCAGAUGAUGUCUUCGGACCAAAGGUGUGAUUCCGUCGAGGGAUGAGUCCGCGUCCUAUUAGCUAGUUGGUAGGGUAACGGCCUACCAAGGCCAUGAUGGGUAGCGGGUGUGAGAGCAUGACCCGCGUCACUGGGACUGAGAUACUGCCCAGACACCUACGGGUGGCUGCAGUCGAGGAUCUUCGGCAAUGGGCGCAAGCCUGACCGAGCGACGCCGCGUGUGGGAUGAAGGCCUUCGGGUUGUAAACCACUGUCGGAGGGGAUGAAAUGCCCUGGGGUUCUCCCCAGGGCUUGACAUAGCCUCAAAGA